GAUGAACGCUAGCUACAGGCUUAACACAUGCAAGUCGCAGGGUAACAUGAGGAAAGCUUGCUUUCCUUGAUGACGACUGGCGCACGGGUGAGUAACGCGUAUCCAACCUUCCCAUAACUACGGGAUAACCCGUUGAAAGACGGCCUAAUACCGUAUGACAUCGUUUGCUGACAUCAAAUAACGAUUAAAGGUUUAGCGGUUAUGGAUGGGGAUGCGUCUGAUUAGCUUGUUGGCGGGGUAACGGCCCACCAAGGCGACGAUCAGUAGGGGUUCUGAGAGGAAGGUCCCCCACAUUGGAACUGAGACACGGUCCAAACUCCUACGGGAGGCAGCAGUGAGGAAUAUUGGUCAAUGGGCGAGAGCCUGAACCAGCCAAGUAGCGUGCAGGAUGACGGCCCUAUGGGUUGUAAACUGCUUUUAUGUGGGGAUAAAGUGCGUGACGUGUCAUGCAUUGCAGGUACCACAUGAAUAAGGACCGGCUAAUUCCGU
Molecule: ribosomal RNA, 489 nt
Filed under: uncultured bacterium
Lineage: Bacteria
Description: partial 16S ribosomal RNA
Rfam family: Bacterial small subunit ribosomal RNA
Source: RNAcentral